GGCGGUAUGCUUAACACAUGCAAGUCGAACGGUGCUUUCGGGCACAGUGGCGGACGGGUGAGUAACGCGUGAGAAUCUGGCUUCAGGUCUGGGACAACCACUGGAAACGGUGGCUAAUACCGGAUGUGCCGAGAGGUGAAAGGUUAACUGCCUGAAGAUGAGCUCGCGUCUGAUUAGCUAGUUGGAAGUGUAAUGGACUCCCAAGGCGACGAUCAGUAGCUGGUCUGAGAGGACGAUCAGCCACACUGGGACUGAGACACGGCCCAGACUCCUACGGGAGGCAGCAGUGGGGAAUUUUCCGCAAUGGGCGAAAGCCUGACGGAGCAAUACCGCGUGAGGGAGGAAGGCUCUUGGGUCGUAAACCUCUUUUCUCAGGGAAGAACACAAUGACGGUACCUGAGGAAUAAGCAUCGGCUAACUCCGUGCCAGCAGCCGCGGUAAUACGGAGGAUGCAAGCGUUAUCCGGAAUGAUUGGGCGUAAAGCGUCCGCAGGUGGCUAUGUAAGUCUGCUGUUAAAGAGUCUAGCUCAACUAGAUAAGAGCAGUGGAAACUACAAGGCUAGAGUACGUUCGGGGCAGAGGGAAUUCCUGGUGUAGCGGUGAAAUGCGUAGAGAUCAGGAAGAACACCGGUGGCGAAGGCGCUCUGCUAGGCCGUAACUGACACUGAGGGACGAAAGCUAGGGGAGCGAAUGGGAUUAGAUAC
This 703-nucleotide ribosomal RNA is filed under the name Nostoc sp. 65.1. RNAcentral's name for it is "bacterial SSU rRNA". It matches the Rfam family "Bacterial small subunit ribosomal RNA", at positions 38 to 785 of the family's 1533-position model. The record is from RNAcentral. Lineage: Bacteria; Bacillati; Cyanobacteriota; Cyanophyceae; Nostocales; Nostocaceae.